CCAAACUGUAGGAAGGUGACUGCUGGGCCCUGACAGGUUCGUUGUGGCUUUCAAAUCUUGCAAAUGACAUCGCUUAUUGUAUUGAGUGUGUACAUGUAGACAAUUAAACAGUAGCUGGCAUGCUCCUAUUUGGAAACCACAGCCCAUGACUGAUUGUCCUGUGUCUGACUUGGGCCCUGCUGGGGACCGGAGAGGGAAUUAACAUGGAUUGCAUUUGGUGUUUGUCAGAUACAGUAAGCUGGCCUUGGUUGAAAAGACAGCUGGGGAAAGAGAGAGAGGAAGAGAAAGAGAGAACACACAUGAAUGGUGGGGAGAAGAAGAGGAAGAGGGAGAGAAUCCUCAAGCAGACUCUCCACUGAGUGUGGAGUCCACGGGGCUUGAUCUCAUGGCCCUGAGAUCACAACCUGAGAUGAAAUAAAGAGUUGGCCACUUCCUGACUGAGUCACCCAGGUGCCCCUCAUCUGUUAUGCUUUAAAAAUAGUCAAUGGUCUGCAGAACAGUGGGUUGGCAAGUCUGUGGAAGAAGAUGCAUUCAUCCAUGCAGACAGUCAGUAUUCUAGAAAGGUACAGCCCCAAGAUACAAUUACAGGAAAAUAAAGGGGCUUCCUCAAAGGGAAAAGAAACAAAUGUCCACAGGAAUCUGUUCUGGAUCUCCCCUGCCAGCUCAGUAUUUGCAGACUGCAUUCGAACAGCUUCCCUGCGCUGCCUGGAGUAGACAGCUGACCAACAGAGCUGAAUUGCCAUCCAAUAAAUCCUGACUUCCAGAAACAUGGUUAGAUGAUGGCUACGGAGACCCAAGGGGCCAAAAGGGUUUUCUCAAACUCUGGUUUAUGAGGACUUAUAAUUUUUAUCCACCUCAGGAGAAAUGUUUCACCGUCUCCCUCCCCAUGAGUCAUUGGCUCCAAGAUGUCUAAUCUGGGCUUUCCAAAUCCAUCACACUUCUUGGGGAUAAAAAGAUCUAUGUUAAUUCAAGGUAGCCAGCAUCGCUGGAGUCUUUUCCCCAUUACUUCUGAUCUACACAUUAAUGCGAACAUAAUUGGUGCAUUUCACCCCAUUUUCCUGCUAAGCCUAGGCAAGAAGUGGGAGACUUUUCAUCCCUUGAGUCAUUGAUCUCCAGAAUUACAGCCCCGCUGCUGCUGUCUGCUGUGUCUUCUGCACUUCAUAUAAACCCCUCCGGCUGCCCCAGAGGCUUGCACCAUAGUUUGCCCAAUGCAAGUAAUAAGGCUGACAAAUCGCUCCCUGUU
Canis lupus familiaris (dog) is the source of this 1243-nucleotide long non-coding RNA. RefSeq lists it as uncharacterized. Lineage: Eukaryota; Metazoa; Chordata; Mammalia; Carnivora; Canidae. The record is from RefSeq and is a predicted model, not a curated record. The transcript has 3 exons.